Molecule: ribosomal RNA, 682 nt
Filed under: uncultured bacterium
Lineage: Bacteria
Description: bacterial SSU rRNA
Rfam family: Bacterial small subunit ribosomal RNA
Source: RNAcentral
CGGGUAUUGACCCCUGCUGUGCCGAAGUUAACGCAUUAAGUUCUCCGCCUGGGGAGUACGGCCGCAAGGCUAAAACUCAAAGGAAUUGACGGGGACCCGCACAAGCGGUGGAGCAUGUGGUUUAAUUCGACGCAACGCGAAGAACCUUACCUGGAUUUGACAUCCUCUGACCUCCAUGGAAACAUGGCUUUCUAUGCUUGCAUAGACAGAGUGACAGGUGCUGCAUGGCUGUCGUCAGCUCGUGUCGUGAGAUGUUGGGUUAAGUCCCGCAACGAGCGCAACCCUUGUUUUUAGUUGCUAUUAUUAAGUUAAGCACUCUAGAAAUACUGCCUCGGUUAACGGGGAGGAAGGUGGGGAUGACGUCAAGUCCUCAUGGCCUUUAUAUCCAGGGCUACACACGUGCUACAAUGGACUGUACAAAGGGUCGCCACUUCGCGAGAAGGAGCUAAUCCCAAAAAGCAGUUCUCAGUUCGGAUUGGAGUCUGCAACUCGACUCCAUGAAGUUGGAAUCGCUAGUAAUCGUGGAUCAGCAUGCCACGGUGAAUACGUUCCCGGGUCUUGUACACACCGCCCGUCACACCACGAAAGUCGGCUGUACCAGAAGUUGCUGGGCUAACCCUUCGGGGAAGCAGGUACCUAAGGUACGGUCGGUAAUUGGGGUGAAGUCGUAACAAGGUAGCCG